This 662-nucleotide ribosomal RNA is filed under the name Nothria otsuchiensis complex sp. W49014. Its description in RNAcentral is "partial 28S ribosomal RNA". It matches the Rfam family "Eukaryotic large subunit ribosomal RNA", at positions 367 to 807 of the family's 3401-position model. Lineage: Eukaryota; Metazoa; Annelida; Polychaeta; Eunicida; Onuphidae. The record is from RNAcentral.
AAAAGAACUUUGAAGAGAGAGUUCAAUAGUACGUGAAACCGUUUAGAGGCAAACGGAUGGGACCGCAAAAGUCGAUCCGCGGAAUUCAACCUUUCGGUGUUGGGUCUGCCGGCGCGGGGUGUUCGGAUCUUUGAACGGCCCUUGCGUCGGGCGGCCGCUGGAAGGUGCACUUUCCGCGGACUGAGCGCUGCGACCGGUUUGCGCGGCGGCGAGAAGCCCCGGGAGAAGGUGGCCUCUGCCUCGGCAGUUGCUUUAUAGCUCUCGGCGGUCAUCGCCCGCCGCCGGACCGAGGAAUGGUUCUCUGCGCCCGCCACUAUGGCUCGGGCCCCUGGCCCUCGCCGGACGUUCGACUGGGGUGGACUGAUUUCAGUGUUCUCCGACCGCGUCUGGUGCACGGGUUUUUCGGGCGGUCCCCGAGCAUGGCGCAUGGGGUCUGCGGCGAUUAGGUCGGCACCCUAUCCGACCCGUCUUGAAACACGGACCGAGGAGUCUAACAUGUGCGCGAGUCAUUGGGGCCUCCGAACCCUAAAGGCGCAAUGAAAGUGAAGGUUGGCCUCGCUUGUCGACCUAGGUGUGAUCCCGCCCCGCCGCGGGUGGGCGCAACACCGGCCCGUCUCGUCCGUUUCCGGCAACGGUCGGGGAGGCGGAGCAAGAGCGUACAC